ACUUGUCAAAUAUAUUACAAAUUAUCCAUAUUAAAAAUACUCAAACUACUAAACCCAAUUUAUGACUUGUGAAACCAAACCAUAUGCAUCAUUUACAUGACAAAUACACCAAUUACAAGUGUUCUAACCAUCUUUAUUUCAAGAGGCAUAGAAUCAAGUUUGGUAUUAACUUCCACCUUGAACACUCCAUCUAAACUCUGGUACUUGUCAAUCUCUCGACCUUGGUAGAUUUCACUCUAUCUUCCUUGAUCUAAUACAUAUGUUGAAAGUGCUUCAUCAUUUGCAAGAAGAUGGAAAUUGUAUGAAGACAAAUGUGAAUAGAAUAUGAAGAGUGAUGGUGGUGGUUGACUCGAAGGUCAACACUAAUGGUGGUUGUGGUUAAGUUUGAUGAAGGGAGCGAAAAUGAGAGAAAAUAUACCUGAAAGAGAAAGAAGAAAAGGUAAGUGAAUGAGAGAAAAAAUACAAUUUUUUUCAUUUAAAGCUUCAUUUUUUUUGUAACAAUUUAAUGUCAUGUUGGUUUUUGCUUAUUCAUCACACUACGUAGGAGAGAGUAACACAUUACUUAGUCACAUAAAAGUCACCCACUUAGGAGUGAUAAUAAAAAAAAAAGUUAAUAUUAAUGACAAAAAUGACAUACUUUAGCUAAGUCAUAGAUUGAUCAAG
Molecule: long non-coding RNA, 663 nt
Filed under: Cicer arietinum (chickpea)
Lineage: Eukaryota; Viridiplantae; Streptophyta; Magnoliopsida; Fabales; Fabaceae
Description: long non-coding RNA (CARI_LNC000432)
Source: RNAcentral